Molecule: microRNA precursor, 103 nt
Filed under: Marmota monax (woodchuck)
Lineage: Eukaryota; Metazoa; Chordata; Mammalia; Rodentia; Sciuridae
Source: RNAcentral
AGAGGGACAGCUGGGUCAAAUGGUGGUUCCAUUCCAAGUUUUCCAAGGAACUUCCAUAAUGCUUUCCAGAUUGGAUGCACCAUUUUGCAGUCCCAACAACAAU